Molecule: long non-coding RNA, 8034 nt
Filed under: Capsicum annuum
Lineage: Eukaryota; Viridiplantae; Streptophyta; Magnoliopsida; Solanales; Solanaceae
Description: long non-coding RNA (CANN_LNC000009)
Source: RNAcentral
AUGGAUGUUUCUUUAGCCAAUUUCGUCUUUAUUAACUCCACCGUUAGGUCUGCUUUUGUAUCAACAAGACCUAGAGUAAUAAAAGAAGUCAUCCCCAACUCCUACUCAGUAGGCACGAUCCAAGGAUGCACAACCUGUAAAAAAUGGAAAUGAGGCAUUUAAAUCAUAUAAUAAUAAUUUGCAGUCAGUUGGUUACAUGUUAUUACAGCCAACUUAUGCAACAGAUGAUAUAGCUACUGUAAUAGCUGAUUUGUUUGUCAUAACAGAUUAACAAUAUGUUGCACCAGAUUACCCAUCUGUUGCAUAAUUUGUAGUAGAUGGGUAAUCUGCUAAGUCGAGUUCAGAGAACCAGAGCAACAGAUAGUUAAUCUAUUACGAAAUAUGGAUCGUUUAUCGUAACAGAUUACUCAUCUAUUGCACCAGUUGAAGUUGACGGGUAAUUUAUCGCAAGAGAUGGCACAUCUGUUCAGUAUCUUUCUUUGAGACAAAUUAUUUUAGUUGAAAGAAAGAAGGUGUACUGCAUCAUCUGGAAGGUUAAAGAGAUCAGCCUCCUUAAUAUUUUUUUUAUUGCUUUUUGCAGCCAACCACCUAAGGAUCCUUGGAUGAGAAACCUCAUCCGAGUAAUCCUUGAACUGCUUUGGAGAGGACAAAUGGCUUCACAUGCCCAAACCUAAAAAAUGUAAACAGGAAGCAAGCAAAAAAAAGUCAUAAUAACUAUAUCCAAUAUAAAUUAAUGGAUGAGUAAAAAUAGUGAUCAAUUUUACCAUGAAAUCCCAAGAAAAGCCGUAUAAUGUGAUGGUACUUGUGGAUAGCUUUGUUAGUAAAUAUUGGACAAUCAAGUAGUAGUUGUCCGAUCCUAGGAUAAUCAUUAUAUUUCUCAAAAUCAUCAGGAAGCGCCAACAAAUCAUCUUCUAUGACUUUCCUGACGUCUCUUGCCAAUAUAGAGGAAUGGAUAAAUCAAACCAAGCAUAAUUUCGUCUGGUAGUACUUUGGUAUGUUUUUAUCCUUGAGAUCUGCCAUUAAAUCCUCUGCUUUGUAGCUGCGUCCAACAUAGACAACAACCCAUCUUUUUUUCCUUGCAUUUAUUGGAAUCUUUGUGGGGUGUUUCCUUGAUGAGAUGUUUUUCUAGACAAUCGCAUCUCAAGCAUAUCACUAUGGGAAACUCUUUCAAUCAAAAAUAAAUCGGCAUGCUGCAGUAGCUGAUCCAGAUUUCAUCCAUCUUUUUUUCACCCUCCUUCAAAUCUUUAUAAUCCCCCACAUACUUAAUCCAGCUCUUGAGAAGACCAUAUACCAUGCUCAUUGGGAAACGGAGUGCGGUCCUCAGGCAGCUCAAGAAUGUAUGCAAAGCAACUCUUCUUAAAAAGCCCAUCUAUGAUUUCAUUCUUUAUAAUAGUCCUAAGUUCGUCAAAUAUUUCCCCAACUGACAUUUAAGUACAAGAUCACCAGUUACUUCUUAGGGAUAUUCAUCGCCAUCGCAACUUGAAACCUGUCGAUACUAAUGGUUUUGGAAGAAUCAUGCUAGGAUUUUGAUAUUAUUUCACACCCUAUUGGUGAGAAGGAGUUAUCACUUUCCUCAGCUUUAUUUUGCCCUGACGGAGAUUUUUCAAGAAGUUCCUUCGAAUCUAUCUGUACUCUAGCCUUUUUUGUUGGGUGGUCAGAAGUUGAUCCACUUUCAAUUUUUUUUUCUUUUGGGAGACAUCUUUUAACUACAAAUAAUAGAAAAACAAAAAAAUACAUUGUAUUUGAUGUCUGAAUAAUUUUUUUAAAAAGGUAAGAUAAAUUUUAAUAAACUAUUCUACUCCACAUUACAAAAAAAAAUUCCAACGGAUAACCCAUCAGUUGAAAUCAAUGCGGAAUCUGUUUGAAGACCUAUUUGAUAUCUCUCAAUUGAUCUUCCACCUGUUGUAAUAGAUGGACAAAUUUUAAUAAAUUAUUCUACGCCACAUUACAAAAAAAUAUUCCUACGAAUAACUCAUCAGUUGGAACAGAUGAGGAAUCUGUUUGAAGACCUAUUUAAUAUCUCCCAACAGAUCUUCCACCUGUUGCAACAGGUGGACCACCAACACCACAACCAAUGUCACCACCAAUUCCACCAAGUGACCAAGACCACUACCAAUGCCACUAAUACCAACACCAAUCUACCUACACCCCCACCAAAAACACAAAUACUGACACCACCAACAGUAACCACUAACAACACCACAAACACCAUCCAACAAUACCACGAUAUUCAAUAAAACAUUGAGAGAAAACUAGGGUUUUCUCGGUUGCUUCCUACUUUUUUAGCAUCAAAACUCAAAAUCUUAACCCAUUAUCGAAGAUAAUACAACUAAAAGUCUUCUUUUUUAUCAUUAACUAAACAACCCUAAAUUUUAGAAUAAAGAAUAAAUGUAGAACUUUUUUCAAACUCUGUUACCUAUGAAGACAAAGAAAACGAUGGAUACAACCAAGAAUAAAGUCGAAAAUAACAACUAUGGGGUCAAAAAUGGGAAGAAAAUCGAUCUAUUUUGAAGGUUGAGCAAUAUGUUGAGUAGUUAUUGUCUGUUUUAUUGAGAGAGAGAGAUGGGGGGGAGAGUGAGAACUUCAAAUUUAAAAUGAGGAAAAGUUUUUCACACAAAUAGAUGAUUUGUAUGAGUUGAUUUGUAAUUUUGAAAAAGAAUGAUAAGUUUUAAAAUUGUUAAUUUGGUCUGAAUUGAUCUUAAUUAAAUUUUAAAAUUUUAAAAGAUAUAGUUUUUAAAAUAUUAAGUUAAUGAGAACUCAUUUUAACUCAGAGUGAUCGAUCACGACUUAAGUCGGGAUGAAUGGAAUACCAACACCAUGUAAUUGCAAAGACUCAAUUAAAGUUGUUGUUGUCCAUAUGAACUCAUUCAUCCCUAAUUUAACCUAAAUUAACUAAGGUUAUAUCUUAACAUUAAGUUAAUGAGAACUCAUUUCAACUCAAGUGAUCAAUUGAUGACUCAGGUUGUGAUAAACGUAAUACCAACACCAUGCAACUACAAUGACUCAAUUGAAGUUGUAGUUGGCCCUAUGAGCUCAUUCAUCCCUAGUUACCCCUAAAUCAAUUUAGGUACUAUAUUAACAUUAAGUUAAUGAGAACAUAUUUUAACUCAGAGUGAUCGAUCGAUGACUCAGGUCAGGAUAAAUGCAAUACCAAUACCAUUCAAUUGAAAUGAUUCAAUUGAAGCUGUAGUUGACCUUAUGAGCUCACUAAUCCCUAGUUCCACCUAAAUAAAUUUAGGUACUAUCUUAACAUUAAGUUAAUGAGAACUCAUUUCAACUCAGAGUGAUCGAUCGGCGGCUCAAGUCGGGAUGAACGCAAUACUAACACCAUGCAAUUGUAAAGACUCAAUUGAAGUUAUAGUUGACCCUAUGAACUUAUUCAUCCAUAGUUACACCUAAAUUAAUUUAGGUACUAUAUUAACAUGAGUUAAUAAGAACUCAUUUCAACUCAAAGUGAUCGAUCGAUGACUCGGGUCAGGAUAAACGCAAGACCAACACCUUGCAAUUGUAAAGACUCGAUAAAGUUGUUUUUGACCCUAUGAACUUAUUCAUCCCUAGUUCCACCUAAAUAAAUUAAGGUUCUAUCUUAACAUUAAGUUAAUGAGAACUCAUUUCAACUCAGAGUGACCGAUCUUGGGUCGAGAUAAAUGCAAUACCAACAUCAUCCAAAUGCAACAACUCAAUUAAAGUUUAGUAGACCCUAUGAGCUCGUUCAUCCUUAGUUCCACCUAAAUUAAUUUAGGAACUAUCUUAGUAUUAAGUUAAUGAGAACUCAUUUUAACUUAGAGUGGUCGAUCGACGACUUGGAUCGGGAUGAACGUAAUACCAACACUAUGCUAUUGCAAAGACUCAAUUGAAGUUGUAGUUGACCCUAUGAACUCAUUCAUCCCUAGUUCCACCUAAAUCAAUUUAGGUACUAUCUUAACAUUAAGUUAAUGAGAACUCAUUUAUCCCUAGUUCCACCUAAAUCAAUUUAGGUACUAGCUUAACAUUAAGUUAAUGAGAAUUGUUUUUUAACUAAAAGUGAUCGAUCGAUGACUCGGGUCAAGAUGAAUGCAAUACCAACACCAUGCAAUUGUAAAGACUCAAUUGAAGUUGUAGUUGACCCUAUGAACUCAUUCACCCCUAGUUCCAUCUAAAUCAAUUUAGGUACUAUCUUAACAUUCAGUUAAUGAGAACUCAUUCAUCCCUAUUUUUGACUAAAUCAAUUUAGGUACUAGCUUAACAUUAAGUUAAUGAGAAUCUUUUCAACUCAAAGUGAUCGAUCUACGAAUCGAAUUGGUAUGAAUACAAUACCAACACCAUGCAGUUGCAAACACUCAAUUAAAUUUAUAGUUGACCCUAUGAACUCAUUCAUUCAUCUCUAGUUUUACCUAAAUCAAUUGCAAUGAAAUAUGUUGCAACAAAUGACUGAGCUGUUGGAAAUUUUCAAUUAGAUAUUCAUAUUUGUUGCAAUAGAUGCCAUAUAUGAUUUAAUUAUCAAAUAGACAUUUCCAUCUAUUAUGACAGAUGACUGAGUUGUUAGAAAUUUUUAAAUAGAUAUUGAUAUCUAUUGUAACAGAUAACAUAUCUAAUUUAAUUAUCAAAUGUAUAUUUGCAUCUAUUGUCACAGAUGACUGAGCUAUUGGGAUUUUUAAACAAAUAUUGAUACCUGUUGUAACAGAUAACUGAGCUAUUGGGAUUUUUAAACAGAUAUUGCUAUCUGUUGCAACAAACGGCAUAUCUGUUUGAAUUUUUUUUAAUUUUAAAGCAAGCUUCUAUCCGAGUAGAUAAAGUAGUACUACUAAGGCCGUAAACAAUGUUUCUUGGAUAACUCAAAAAUGAGUUUAUUGAGUAAUCUUAUCUUGUAUUUUCAAUGUCACUAGUCUUCCUCGUGCCCCUUAAAUUAUUAAUGAAUAUUAAUUAAUGAAUAUUGAAACCCACGUCUAUGUACACAAUAUAUCUAGAAUUAUCUUAAUCCUUCAACUUCAGCCAUAAAUUUAUUUUAUUCAUCUCUGGUAUUUUUCUUUCUCUAAUCUUUAGGGUUAUCACAACCUUUUUUCUCUCUUUUCUCUUCUAUUUCUUAUAAAAAUCUUUUUGGAUCUAAAUCGAUCCAUAUCUUUCCUCGACUGAAAUUAUUAUUUUGAUCCCAUUAUGACAUUAAGGUAUAGUUCACUAUUUCUUUUUCAUUCUCAUCUUUUUCUUUACAAGUUAUUUACAUCUGUCUUUUAAUUUAUUACCAUUAACCCAUAUCAUAUUUAUUUAGAAAAAUUGACGAAAUUUUUAAGUGUUUGAAUAAAUGAAUCGAGAAUUUUUAUUACAAUAUGCAAAAAAAGUCAUCUGUUAGGAGAAUUUUAAAAGUCUUGUUGGCAGUAUCAUUUUUGUUGUAUCUAUUUUGUUUGUUUCUUUGUUGUUGAUUCUGUUAUUGAUGUAAUUGGUGGGGUUUGCAUUGUUGGAACUUAUGGUGUGUUAUUGAUAGUGUUGGAAAAAGGGAUGUUUCUUCUUUGUUGUUGAUGGUGUAGGUAUUUAUGGUUGUGGAAUAAUAUCUUCUGGUAUAAUCAUAUCUCGGGUCAUUCCUACUUUUACAACUUGUAUAGGUUAUUUAACUUCAUCAUACAAUAUCUCUGCUGGUGUCGUGUAAAAUUUUAUAAAAAAUAGGUUACCUUUGGUUAUUCUUUUAAAAAUGUUAAAUGAAUCAUAUAUUUAUGGUAUAUUGGAUAUUUUAUUUCCGUCUUGGGUAUAUAUGGUACUACGUAGUCCAUAUUCGUAACAGGUUUUAACUAGACUUGGUUUGGUUUUGGGCAAAGCAAUUAGCUUAUUGUAUCCGGUUAGCUUCUAGGUUAUGUAAUUCGUAUGUGGUUCUUGGAUGUUUAUAGCUCUAGGGUUGGUAUUUAAGAAGGUUUGUAUUUUGUAAAUAUUUUCUAUGUAUGUUCGGGCUGUAUAGUUUUAGGUCUUUUUAUCUUUGUUUAAACUAUCUCGGUAUGUGGUAAUUUGUGGGGGUAUGAACAUAGGAUCUUUUGGUAUAUUUGGAAUAAAUAAUUUAUCAAAUAGCCUGUUUAGGUUCAUAUUUGUGUUUUUCCUAACUCCUUUGCUUGUACCUGUAGAAGUAGAUUGAUAAACGUUAUGGGUUUCUAGAACAGUGAAGAGACCGAACCCUAAUGCAAGGUUGCCUACGUAUCUCAUCAAGAAAAGAAUCAGGUCAAAACGUAGUUCAAACCUAUACGCUAUAGGCGAUGUUGCUAAGGUACAUUCUUAAUUAAUUCACUAUGUAAAACGAAGAUUAGACUACACCUUCUCACUAAAGUAUAAUCAAUUUAAAGCAAACAGUACAAACACAAUAAUUGUUCAAAUAUGUACAAAGAAUAUAAUGACAUGUCACUUGGGUCGUGAACCAUUCGGACAUAAAGUUGACUAACAAUGCAUGCACCUAAAAGGUAUUAUUUUAGCUCUAUCCUAUGUUCGACGAAGAGUGGAUUUACUAGACCUGUGGUUCUCGAGCGGACUACUCGAGUGAGAAGGUUACGCGGGCAUACAGAAAAAGAUCCGGACACCCUGUGCAUACUCCAACUCUCCUAAAGUUUAGAAUUUUGAAAGAAAUUUGCGGGUGCGUAAAACACACCUCACUUAAUUGUGUCAGCUUUUCCCAAAUGGAAGAAAUAUGAACGAGAUGACAGUUUAUAUAAAGCAAUAAACAAAUAAAUAAACUAUACAAAACAAAUAGCAAUUUGUACACACAAACAUGAUAAAUCAAGACAAUUAGAAAGACAUAAAUAAUAAUACAGAAAAAUAUAAAUAUUUUCCUAAAUUUGUAAUGGUUAGAACCUUGCAUCCCCCAGCAGAGUCGUCAUUCUGUCAUACCCGAUUUUUACCUAAGUAAAACAAGCAUGACUUAUGGACUCUAAAAAAAGAGUUAAUUAUGUACAGAGUCGCCACCUAGUUUUUAAGAAAAAUAAGAAAACCUAUUUAUUUAUUAGCAUGUAUGGCUUGUAUUUUAAUCUAUGAACCUGUUUAGAUUCUAAGUAAGGGUUCAAAUUAUUCCGAAGGGAAGGUAUUAGGCACCCUUCAGAAUCCAUACAUGUGGUUUCUGGCCAGACUUAGGUUUAUUAAAAGAUAAAAAAAAAAACUAUGUGUAUAUACAAAUACAAAAAGUGUAUUAAAAUGAUGUAAAUAAUUUAUGUAUAAAAGAUGCACAAAUUAUCUAUAUUAUAGUAAACUAUGUAUAAAAGUAUAUGAAAAUAUGUAAAUAAAAAAAAAUAUAAGAAUGUAUAUGAAAAGAAAAAUAAAGAUUGAAUAAAAGAAAAUUUAUUUAAAGAAAAGAUUAUGUAAUAUUUUUAGUGUAUAAAUUGAGAAUUAUUUGAUUAGAUGUCUAAAUUAAUUUAAUAUAAAUAUUGGAGGCCUAAAUUUGCCUACACAUGUGUCUGGCGAAAUGUCUAUUUUUUUAAAAAAAAUAAAUAGCCUGGAAAAUAAAAUCCGUCCUUUGUAAUGGGGUGGCCUCAAAUAUCCGACGAAAAGAUAAUAUCAUUGGCCCAAAAAAAUAUUUUAGCACAGAUAAAAUAAUACCAAUAUAUCAGAGAAAAAAUAAAAUCACUAAGAAAAUUAAACAACAUAAUAUUACUUUCAGUGGUGGUAGUAGGCUACCGGAUCUGGAGUGUGUUUGCCAGGGAGGUCGCCAGAUCUGGUUUGACAAUGGUGGCUGAAUCUGGUGGCUAGCGGGAUCUGGAGAUUAGUGGAGGGAGUAAUUGUUGUUUAUGAAAAUGUAAAAAAAAAAAAAAUGAAGGAGGCUUGUUGUUGCUGCUUGUUCUUUGUUUUAUAGGAAAAUGAAAGGGAAAUAUUGUGGGGUGGAUGACAGUAAAGAGAAAAGAAAGAGAGAGUGAAUUAAGAGAGAGAAAGUGAGAUAGGAGAGAAUCUUUUCUUUUUUCUUUGUGUUGAACGUGUAGUGUUUAAAAGGGAAAGAAAAAUGAUGAAAAGUGUGAUCCAUCCCAUAAAUGCUUGGCCAAUGUUUCAAAUUUUGGCAAGUUUUUUUCAACCUUUUGGCAGAAGAAAAUCUGUACAAAU